CUUCACCUCACCUCACUUUACUCAUCUGUGAAAGUGAGAUUAAGAAUCCUACCACACAGGAUAGUUGUAAGGAUCGCCUGAUCUAAACUCACUUCUUUACUUCCUUCCUCCUUUCCUUCCUUCCUACUUUCCUUCCUUCCCUUCUUCUUCCCUUCCUUCCCUCCUUCCUUCCACAAAUAUUCUCCAGGGAAUGGAGAAUCAGAAGUAAAGGCCAAGAAAGCUCCUGGCUGCACUGUUUACCCUCUGAUGAGGAUAAAUAUGGGAACACAUAAAUAAAGAAGAUACUUCGGAUAAUGAAAAAUUCCACGAAAGAGUGAUGUGAUCAGAGAGUGACCGUGGAGAACGGCUUUACCUACGGCCAUCAGGAAAGUACUGUCUGAGGAGCUAACAACUAAGAUCUGCACAAGAAGGAAUCCAGACUAUGAAGAGAGAGCAGAAAGCCUUCCAUGCAGAGGGAGCCGCACCUGCAAAAGCUCUGAGGCGAGAAUGAGUACAUUCAUUACAGAAACUGACAGCCAGUGUGAUGGGAACAAAAUGAAAGAGGGGAUCAGGGUACAGAAUAAGCUUGGAGAGACAGAUAUAACCAUUCACUACGGUUGGAAUUAAAACAAGGUACUUCAUUUAGGCUGCUUCCAUUCAAGCUAUUGGAAGAAUCCAGUGCUAUAGCCAAUGAAACGAGAUACGAUGAGAGAACACCUUUCAGAAAGCCCACCUCCACUUGCCUGGGAUGUGAGGCCACCCUAACAACAGGGUGCCUAGACUUGUGCAUACACACUCAGUAGAUGCUUGUAGAAUCAAACCGGCUAAUUUCGCUUGAGAUGAUGCUACCAUCUACGCCAACAUCAUCCCGUAGCUCAAAAUGCUCAAUUGCCCACCAUUGAACUGGCAGCUAGAACCCAAUGCUGA
This 906-nucleotide long non-coding RNA is filed under the name Equus asinus (donkey). Its description in RNAcentral is "lncRNA (ENSEASG00005032578.1)". The record is from RNAcentral. Lineage: Eukaryota; Metazoa; Chordata; Mammalia; Perissodactyla; Equidae.